GCUCAAAUUUGAAAUCUCAGCGCAAGCUGCGAAUUGUAGUUUAGAGAAACGUUUUCGGGGCCGGCGCCAGUACAAGUUCUUUGGAACAAGGCAUCACAGAGGGUGAAAAUCCCGUCUUUGACUGGCUGCUUGGUUCCAUGUGAUACGUUUUCCAAGAGUCGGUUUGUUUGGGAAUGCAGACCAAAAUGGGUGGUAAAUACCAUCUAAAGCUAAAUAUUGGCGAGAGACCGAUAGCGAACAAGUACCGUGAGGGAAAGAUGAAAAGAACUUUGAAAAGAGAGUUAAACAGUGCGUGAAAUUGUCAAAAGGGAAACGUUUAAAACCAGUAUUGCGGGCAGAAACUCAGGUUCCAUUUAUGGUGCUGUAUUUUUCUGUCGGCGAGUCAACAUCAGUUUUGCUUGGAGUAAAACGCCAGGGGAAGGUAGCCUUCGGGUGUUAUAGCCUCUGGUAAUUCUCUGGGCGGGACUGAGGACUGCAGCGUUCUUUGGGUUUACCACACCAACGCUUAGGAUGUUGACGAAAUGGUUUUAAGCGACCCGUCUUGAAACACGGACCAAGGAGUCUAACAUAUAUGCGAGUAUUUGGGUGGCAAACCCUUAUGCGUAAUGAAAGUGAAAAGGUGGGAUCCUUUGCUGGUGCACCAUCGACCGCGCCAGAUUAUUGCUAUCUCGGCGUGAGUAUGAGCAUACAUGUUGGGACCCGAAAGAUGGUGAACUAUGCCUGAAUAGGGUGAAGCCAGAGG
This 742-nucleotide ribosomal RNA is filed under the name Boothiomyces macroporosus. RNAcentral describes it as "eukaryotic LSU rRNA". It matches the Rfam family "Eukaryotic large subunit ribosomal RNA", at positions 107 to 858 of the family's 3401-position model. The record is from RNAcentral. Lineage: Eukaryota; Fungi; Chytridiomycota; Chytridiomycetes; Rhizophydiales; Terramycetaceae.